UACGUAGGGGGCAAGCGUUGUCCGGAAUCAUUGGGCGUAAAGAGCUCGUAGGCGGUUUUGUAAGCCAGAUGUGAAAUCCCCGGGCUUAACCUGGGAAUGGCAUUUGGGACUGCAAGGCUCGAGUGCGGCAGAGGAGACUGGAAUUCCUGGUGUAGCAGUGAAAUGCGUAGAUAUCAGGAGGAACACCGAUGGCGAAGGCAGGUCUCUGGGCUGACACUGACGCUCAUGCACGAAAGCGUGGGGAGCAAACAGG
Molecule: ribosomal RNA, 253 nt
Filed under: uncultured bacterium
Lineage: Bacteria
Description: partial 16S ribosomal RNA
Rfam family: Bacterial small subunit ribosomal RNA
Source: RNAcentral